Molecule: ribosomal RNA, 595 nt
Filed under: uncultured bacterium
Lineage: Bacteria
Description: partial 16S ribosomal RNA
Rfam family: Bacterial small subunit ribosomal RNA
Source: RNAcentral
UGGGGAAUUUUGGACAAUGGGCGAAAGCCUGAUCCAGCAAUGCCGCGUGUGUGAAGAAGGCCUUCGGGUUGUAAAGCACUUUUGUCCGGAAAGAAAUCCUUGGCUCUAAUACAGUCGGGGGAUGACGGUACCGGAAGAAUAAGCACCGGCUAACUACGUGCCAGCAGCCGCGGUAAUACGUAGGGUGCAAGCGUUAAUCGGAAUUACUGGGCGUAAAGCGUGCGCAGGCGGUUUGCUAAGACCGAUGUGAAAUCCCCGGGCUCAACCUGGGAACUGCAUUGGUGACUGGCAGGCUAGAGUAUGGCAGAGGGGGGUAGAAUUCCACGUGUAGCAGUGAAAUGCGUAGAGAUGUGGAGGAAAUACCGAUGGCGAAGGCAGCCCCCCUGGGCCAAAUACUGACGCUCAUGCACGAAAAGCGUGGGGGAGCAAAACAGGAUUAGAUACCCUGGGUAGUCCACGCCCCUAAAACGAUGUCAACUAGUUGUUGGGGGAUUCAUUUCCCUAGUAACGUAGCUAACGCGUGAAGUUGACCGCCUGGGGAGUACGGUCGCAAGAUUAAAACUCAAAUGAAUUGACGGGGUCAUAGGCUGUUUCC